GACGAACGCGGGCGGCGUGCUUAACACAUGCAAGUCGAACGAAGCUUGAUUACGGAUUCUUCGGAUGAAGUAUGAUAUGACUGAGUGGCGGACGGGUGAGUAACGCGUGAGUAACCUGCCCUUCAGAGGGGGAUAGCGUUUGGAAACGAACGGUAAUACCGCAUAAUGUAUUUUGACCGCAUGAUCGAAAUACCAAAGAUUUAUCGCUGAAGGAUGGACUCGCCUCUGAUUAGGUAGUUGGUGGGGUAACGGCCUACCAAGCCGACGAUCAGUAGCCGGACUGAGAGGUUGAUCGGCCACAUUGGGACUGAGACACGGCCCAGACUCCUACGGGAGGCAGCAGUGGGGAAUAUUGCACAAUGGGCGCAAGCCUGAUGCAGCAACGCCGCGUGAAGGAAGACGGUUUUCGGAUUGUAAACUUCUGUUCUUAGUGAAGAAUAAUGACGGUAGCUAAGGAGCAAGCCACGGCUAACUACGUG
RNAcentral lists this ribosomal RNA (479 nucleotides) under uncultured bacterium. RNAcentral describes it as "partial 16S ribosomal RNA". It matches the Rfam family "Bacterial small subunit ribosomal RNA", at positions 28 to 507 of the family's 1533-position model. The record is from RNAcentral.